AAGGUUGGGAUGGAAUUGAAGAGUUGAAAAUUCGAGGUUUCCUACUCGAAGUAGGAAAGCUAAGCCUAAAAGUUUCCAUUUUGGGUUGAUCUUUCCUAAAUCGGAAUUGGCAACUAAAGUUUCUAAAGUUGGAAGUUUCUAUUCUUGGAGGUUUCCAUUUUCGUGAGUUUCUAUUCUUGGCUUUGGGCUUUUGGAUGACCCAUCUUCACUUCUUGGACCUAUGCCGCACCUAGGCCUUGUUCACAUGCAAAAAUCUGAUUAUAAACCCUAAGCCUAGUCCAUUAAGGUAGCCGCACCUAACCCUAGCCCAAUCUGAUUUCUUAGGGUUUUAGGUACCNUUUUAAUUGAUUACUUGUGAACUAGUGAGUAGUGGCUUUAAUUAAGUAUAUGCUUGUGUAAAGAUGACUCAAAUCUGUGGGGAUAACAACCUUUAACAUGUCAUGUGCAUUGGAAAUCCCUGAGGCAAACGUUGGAAGGUUUAGGUUUUGUUUUGGUUAGUUUGUUUCGUUUUGUUUUCUUUCUUUUGUUUGUUUUGCUCGAGGACUAGCAAAAGCUAAGUGUGGGGGAAUUUGAUAGGAGCAUAUUUAUGCGCCUUAGUUAGCUAGUUCUUACGCAUUUUCGUUAUGUUUUCUUCGUUAAAGUAGUCUUUUAAGCUACUUUCAUGUGUUUUCAGGUUUAAGGGACAUAUUACAUGAAAUGAUGCAAGUUGGAGCUUUUGGAGCAAAAUGUGAGCUUGGAUUGAAAAGGACAUGCUUGGAACACAAGGUUGGGAUGGAAUUGAAGAGUUGAAAAUUCGAGGUUUCCUACUCGAAGUAGGAAAGCUAAGCCUAAAAGUUUCCAUUUUGGGUUGAUCUUUCCUAAAUCGGAAUUGGCAACUAAAGUUUCUAAAGUUGGAAGUUUCUAUUCUUGGAGGUUUCCAUUUUCGUGAGUUUCUAUUCUUGGCUUUGGGCUUUUGGAUGACCCAUCUUCACUUCUUGGACCUAUGCCGCACCUAGGCCUUGUUCACAUGCAAAAAUCUGAUUAUAAACCCUAAGCCUAGUCCAUUAAGGUAGCCGCACCUAACCCUAGCCCAAUCUGAUUUCUUAGGGUUUUAGGUGCCUAUAUAUAUAUGUUUUACCCCUUAGCCGCACUAUUCACCUCCCAUUCUAAAAAUUAGAAAUCGCCACCACCCAUUGCAGCAACCUUUCCCACCUUUUGCCGCAGCUUCCCUCCAUUCCAGCACCAUUCCACACAUCCAUACACCAUUCUCCACCUCCAUAAACCAUUCCCACACCUUGCCGCACCACCAUACUAUCCUAUCUACCUUUCAAAACCCAAAAACACAUCCAGAAAACUCCAUUCACGCCAGAACCUGUCCCUCACCUUUGCCGAGCCCAACCUUCACCCAACUCCAUAUUUUCUGACCCCAAACCUUCCUAGCCGUGCCCUACACCCAUCCUAGACAUUUUUCCACCAUUCUCCCUCGUCCAAAGUCAUCCAAAACUACCCAAAAAUCCCCUAAACCCUCUCUGCCGCAGCAAGGAGAAGAAGAAAGAGGAGCUUGCUGUGCAGAAUUCAAAGUGGAAUUCUUUGGCAUUUUAGGUGUAAUCUUUCUUAUGUCUUCGAUGUUUCAAUUCAAUAAACUUGGUGUUGUGAGUAUGAGGAACUAAACCCCCUUAGUUGGGGGGUGAUUCGAAACCAUGUACAUGCUUGCAAUUUGAU
Molecule: long non-coding RNA, 1701 nt
Filed under: Malus domestica (apple)
Lineage: Eukaryota; Viridiplantae; Streptophyta; Magnoliopsida; Rosales; Rosaceae
Description: long non-coding RNA (MDOM_LNC018226)
Source: RNAcentral